This is a long non-coding RNA of Dioscorea cayenensis subsp. rotundata (Guinea yam), 2238 nucleotides long. RefSeq lists it as uncharacterized. The record is from RefSeq and is a predicted model, not a curated record. NCBI's taxonomy places the organism in Eukaryota, Viridiplantae, Streptophyta, Magnoliopsida, Dioscoreales, Dioscoreaceae. The transcript has 6 exons.
CUGGAAGUUUAUGAUUGCCCAAUGCUGAAGUGUGUGGAGAAGCUCGAGUCUCUGCAGAGCUUGACGCUGUUUGAUCAACAAGAGAAUAACACUAUUCUCCCUCAAUGGCUCAUCCUUUUCCUCCUACAACGUGAAAGGCCUCAUUAUGAUCGGUUCAUCUUGCAUUUGGUGUGCAGUGCCCAAGCAUUGCAUGACUGUUUGCAAGGUCAUAGAUACUGGUUGUUACUCCAGCAAGUACCACGCUUCACAGCCUAUACAGUGAACCGAGACAUGUAUUUGAAGUACACUAAAGAACCAUAUUAUUAUGAAACCAACAUCACUGAUGAGGAUCAGGAGCAUGAAAUCCUUUCUUUGAAUUAGAUCAUUAUCCAUUACUGCCAAAAUAAUAUGUGACUUGAUUAAAACUCAAGUUUAUAAUAACAUGAUGGUUUCAACUUACUUGAGAUUAUGUGCAAGUGUUCUUCAAUUUUCAAAGUGAGUUGAGCUCAUGAAGCUUAUGGAGCUCUCUGGAGGGAGAGUGUUCUUGUUUCUUUAGUAUAUUGGUGGAUUUAAUUAUAUGAUGUGCGACUAUGCAUACAUGCAAGGAAUGGUGCGAUUGAUUGAUCCCUCAGUAACAAUUCAAUCUGAUGAAGAGGAUUCUCAGGAGAAUUUUAUGUCUGAUUGAUGGCUUAAUUAUGCAGAUAAUGAGAUGUGACAUUUAUAAUGAUUAGUAUGUAUAUAUAUAUAUAUUGUAUGACUCAUUACAUUUCUACUACAAGAUAGUUCUUCAUAUCUUUACAAUUGUGAUAUGUAUGUUCUUGCCGAGAACUCUAGUGCUUUGGUGCAGGCCUAACUCUGGUGGACAUAUACUACAAUAUCAAAAGUCUCAUGACGAUGAAUUCCACUUGAGCACUUCAUCAGUGUUUGCAAGUGUGUCCAUAUUGAUUGUUCCUCUGGAAUGUACCCUGUUUUGUAGCCUGUGCAAAGGGCGGAAGCAUGUGUUUUAAGUACUCCAAGUAAACAUUUUUCUAUCAAACAAAUCUUGGUGAAAAUAUAUCAAUUGGUAUGAUCCAUGAAACCUCUUUGUUCAAUUUAUUUUUUUCUCUCUCUCAUGCCUAUAUAUUGAAAGUGUCUAAUUGGAUCAAAAUUAUGAUAUGCAUGCCUCAUGGUUGCAUAGCUGCUGCAUAUGUAUGUCUUAUGUGUAUUCAUUCAAUAACUUUUGAAUUACUUAUUUAUAUAAUUUAUGAUUUGGAAUUAAGCGCAUCACUUAUUUAAUUCUAUUUUGUUUACCCUGUAUUGUUUUUCACAGGUGGAAUGGUAGAUUAACAAAUUUUUAUGACAAAUAUGUGAAUUUAUUAUUACUCAACUGCAUGACAUGCUGUUUGAGAGUACAAAUCACUUGGGUUCUUCUGAGGCAGUUAUAUCUUUGCUGAUAUUUAAGUGUUGGAUGUCCAAUAGAACUUCAGAAAUUAUUAUGGAGCAUGGCUUUUGUAUAUGCAAUUCUGAUGAAUCGAAGCUCUCUGGAGGGGAAGGAUAGGUUGUUUCUUUAGUGCCGGUGGAUAUAUAUUAUGCUUGGAAUGGCUCAGAUUAAUUAAUUUGCACCGUGAGUUUUGGAGAUUGAUAGAACGGCAUGUGAGCUCUUUAAUAUUUGAUUUCCUUUACUCAUUUUUGUGAACAUACUUGUUUUUCUGAACAUUAAUGAAUGACAGUUUCAUAUGAGUUAAUUAUAUAGAAUGCUUUUUUUUCUUUGAAACUCAUGAUGUUACAGAAUAUGGUACAUAUUCUUUUCAUGUAUGUGUGAGCUGGUGGAAAUAUCACAUGUCAAAAUUGAAAUGUCUAUUUGAUAUUGAACAACAGAAUUGAUUGGUGGCUAUGCAAUUCGUUGGCUAAACUUCAAAACGAUGAAAAUGAAUCCAAUGUGCAAGCACAUCAUGAUCAAAACCAAGAUACAGCACUAAUUCUGGCUCACAACAGAAUUGAUGAAAAGAGGAUUGCUUUAAGUGUUGGUGUUUACUUUGGGGCGGAAUUUGUAUCUAUUACAGAACCCUUUUUAUUUUUAAGAGAAAUAUGGGGAAACCAUGGAUAAAACUCAAGUCUGGUUGGAAACUGAAAUAAAAUACCAACUCUCAAGUUGGAGAGGUGGUCAAACUAUAUAUGAAGCUCUUAUUUCUUAUGUAAGCAAAGCAUGAACCAAAGACAGUGUCCCUGAUUUUAUAGUUGUAAAUCUCAAUUUUAUUUAUUUUAAUUUUAUUUCAUUUA